GUGCAGAUGGCAGCGCCAUUUUCAGAGCUAUAAACAGUAUCAUUGCCAUAGCUCUUUGAAUGGUACUGCCAUAUGUAC
RNAcentral lists this microRNA precursor (78 nucleotides) under Ornithorhynchus anatinus (platypus). Its description in RNAcentral is "mir-458 microRNA precursor family". It matches the Rfam family "mir-458 microRNA precursor family". Lineage: Eukaryota; Metazoa; Chordata; Mammalia; Monotremata; Ornithorhynchidae. The record is from Rfam by way of RNAcentral.